RNAcentral lists this transfer RNA (76 nucleotides) under Arthrobacter sp. 8AJ. Its description in RNAcentral is "tRNA-Arg". It matches the Rfam family "tRNA". From Rfam's summary of the family: Transfer RNA (tRNA) molecules are approximately 80 nucleotides in length. Their secondary structure includes four short double-helical elements and three loops (D, anti-codon, and T loops). The record is from RNAcentral. Lineage: Bacteria; Bacillati; Actinomycetota; Actinomycetes; Micrococcales; Micrococcaceae.
GCCUCAGUAGCUCAGGGGAUAGAGCAGCGGCCUUCUAAUCCGCCGGUCGGGGGUUCGAUUCCCUCCUGGGGCACCU